Molecule: non-coding RNA, 103 nt
Organism: Podospora fimiseda
Lineage: Eukaryota; Fungi; Ascomycota; Sordariomycetes; Sordariales; Podosporaceae
Source: the annotation of a GenBank genome assembly
GGGCGUGUGGCUCAGUUGGUAGAGCGCCCGCUUAGCAUGGUUGCUUCUUUCAAAGCAAAAGAGUUAAUGCGGAAGGUCCCCGGUUCGAUUCCGGGCUCGUCCA